AUCGCUUCUCGGCCUUUUGGCUAAGAUCAAGUGUAGUAUAUAUAAAAGAAUGAUGGCAUCACGGCGACCCACA
Anolis carolinensis (green anole) is the source of this 73-nucleotide small nuclear RNA. Its record names the gene U2. It matches the Rfam family "U2 spliceosomal RNA". From Rfam's summary of the family: U2 is a small nuclear RNA (snRNA) component of the spliceosome (involved in pre-mRNA splicing). Complementary binding between U2 snRNA (in an area lying towards the 5' end but 3' to hairpin I) and the branchpoint sequence (BPS) of the intron results the bulging out of an unpaired adenosine, on the BPS, which initiates a nucleophilic attack at the intronic 5' splice site, thus starting the first of two transesterification reactions that mediate splicing. NCBI's taxonomy places the organism in Eukaryota, Metazoa, Chordata, Lepidosauria, Squamata, Anolidae. The record is from Ensembl.